Eriocheir sinensis (Chinese mitten crab) is the source of this 1134-nucleotide long non-coding RNA. RefSeq lists it as uncharacterized. Lineage: Eukaryota; Metazoa; Arthropoda; Malacostraca; Decapoda; Varunidae. The record is from RefSeq and is a predicted model, not a curated record. The transcript has 3 exons.
CCCUAGAGAGGAGUUCUCCCAAGUUGAGGAGGCCCUGCUCGACCUUCUUUCUCCCACAGGGUAUGCAAGUCUGCCCAUUCCUGACAGCGAGGGUGGUUCUUUGAAUGCAGCUGGUGCUACACAGUGCCUUCCCUCCCAGGCUCUGGGUCCUGCUCAAGAAGGUACCCAUCCCUCCACAAGUGGUACACCGCAGGGAGAGUUUACUGUCAUGGUGAUUGAAGGCGAGGAGCGGAGAAUCCCAAUAAUAUCUGAUAGCAGCCUUGAGUCAAGGUUUCAUGGAGGAGAUUAAGGUGGCACCUCAGCUUCUUAAUGUAAAUGAAGUACGGGACCUUAUUUCCGACCUUGUGGGGACUCAAAGAGAGGCUGUGUCUUUACAGCGGGAGAAUGUGGCACUGCAGCGGGAGUGUGUUGCAAUGCAGCGGGAGACUGUGGCUGCCUUGCAGAAAUUAGCUGAAACACCAGCAGGCAUCCUAAAACUUGUCCAGGCUAUGGGAGGCCGAAUUAAAUAGGAAGCCAUAGGUUUUCCCCUCAUUUAAGCAAUUAAGGUUUAAAUCAUAUAGGAUUAAGCAUUUUUUAUUUCCUGGAUUUUUUUUCUCUCCUUUAAUCACUAAGUUAUGACGUAAAUCUUAGAGGAUCAAGUUAUUUUGUCUUUCUUAAGGUUGUUAGUUUUUUCUCAUUGUUUUUUUUGAGUUUAGGUGUAAAUAUUGAUUUUUUUUUUGUCUUUUUCAGGAUUAAGUUUUGAUGUAAUUUUUUUUUUUUUUGUCUUUGGAUUCUAGUCACGUUCCAUUUGCUCCCGAUACCAGAAUCUCAAGUUGAGCUGUGCUACAUUUUUAGUUCCUUAUGUUUCUAGUCCCCUUUUCCAUUUUUUUACCCAAUACCAUUUACCUCAAGUUGAGCUGCUAUAAUUUUCGUUUCUCAGGAUUCUAGUAUACCUCAAAGUGAGCUGUGCUGUAAUCUUAGUUUCUCAGGAUUGAUUAUAUUAACACAAAUAUUUUAUAAUGCAUAAGAGGUCAUAUUGGCAUGUACUCUUUUAUAAUAUUUUACUUAUACUAAAAUUUCUUUAUUUUUUUAAUAAAAGGAAACUAUAGCUAUACAUCUGUAAACGGUUGGUAAUGUUUAUACUAAGAUUUUAUA